AGCGAACGCUGGCGGCAGGCCUAACACAUGCAAGUCGAACGAACCUUUCGGGGUUAGUGGCGGACGGGUGAGUAACACGUGGGAACGUGCCUUUAGGUUCGGAAUAACUCAGGGAAACUUGUGCUAAUACCGAAUGUGCCCUUCGGGGGAAAGAUUAAUCGCCUUUAGAGCGGCCCGCGUCUGAUUAGCUAGUUGGUUGAGGUAAUGGCUCACCAAGGCGACGAUCAGUAGCUGGUCUGAGAGGAUGAUCAGCCACAUUGGGACUGAGACACGGCCCAAACUCCGACGGGAGGCAGCAGUGGGGAAUCUUGCGCAAUGGGCGAAAGCCUGACGCAGCCAUGCCGCGUGAAUGAUGAAGGUCUUAGGAUUGUAAAAUUCUUUCACCGGGGACGAUAAUGACGGUACCCGGAGAAGAAGCCCCGGCUAACUUCGU
RNAcentral lists this ribosomal RNA (433 nucleotides) under uncultured bacterium. RNAcentral's name for it is "partial 16S ribosomal RNA". It matches the Rfam family "Bacterial small subunit ribosomal RNA", at positions 29 to 506 of the family's 1533-position model. The record is from RNAcentral.